Molecule: non-coding RNA, 138 nt
Organism: Populus trichocarpa (black cottonwood)
Lineage: Eukaryota; Viridiplantae; Streptophyta; Magnoliopsida; Malpighiales; Salicaceae
Source: Rfam
AAAUCUAUCCAGAACAGUUCUUUACCUAGUUGUGAAAUACUCAUAAUUCAUAAUUACUCGUUAUUGGAAGUCUGACUAUAUUAUCAACACUCGCAAAAUAUAUUUUAAAAAAAGGUUUAUAAAUUAUAUUUUUAUAUG